This 245-nucleotide long non-coding RNA is filed under the name Lathyrus oleraceus (garden pea). RNAcentral's name for it is "Pisum sativum (pea) long non-coding RNA (PSAT_LNC022464)". Lineage: Eukaryota; Viridiplantae; Streptophyta; Magnoliopsida; Fabales; Fabaceae. The record is from RNAcentral.
UUUGAUUUUGGCAACAACACACCAAAGGAUAAUUGGCUUAUUUUUAGGGAAACCAGAAAUAAAGGUUGAGAAUCAGAAAGUUUCUGAAGCUAAGAAAGCACCUGCUAAGAGUGGUGUACCUGCCAAGCCUGAACCACCUGCUAAGAGUGGUACAUCUGCAAAACAAGUGAAGGUUGUUGAUCCAAAGGAGGAAAAAGAUGAUGAUUCUGAUGAUGAAUCAGAUGAUGAACUUGAUAGCUCUGAUG